UCUCCGUAGGUGAACCUGCGGAGGGAUCAUUACAGAGUUCUCGCCCUCGCGGGUAGAUCUCCCACCCACUAUUAUCGUUACUGUCGUUUCUUCGGCGGGCCGCCGGGUCCCCGCCCGCCCGCGUCCACUAUUCGGACCCGGCCCGCCAGAGGCAUUCGCACCCCGAAUGUUUAUGUCGUCCGAGUACGAAUUUAUAGGUACAACUAUCAACGAAGGACCCCUUGGAUCUGGCAUCCAUGAAGAACGACGCCAAUCGCAGGAGCACACGUCUGAACCCAG
This 279-nucleotide unclassified non-coding RNA is filed under the name plant metagenome. Its description in RNAcentral is "partial contains small subunit ribosomal RNA, internal transcribed spacer 1, and 5.8S ribosomal RNA". The record is from RNAcentral.